GGGGCGUGCUGGGUCUUUACUUAUUGUGUUGUUUCACCGAGAAGCAGGAGAAGAUCUUGUGCAUGCAGUGAGUCACGAAGGAAGGGAAACGUUGCUGGAACAGUGGUGAAGAAAAAUCUGAGCUCAGGUGAGCACAUGGGAGUGUUUUGGUUGUUGUUAUAUACGUUGUUGCAACGAUGAAUGCAGGGUGUGGGUAGAUGAAGAAGGUAGAUGACGAAGAAAGGAGGUGGUCCGAGCGUGAAAGUGUCGAAGAUGGGUGGUGCCUGAGGAAGAACACGAAGCACUUGUAUCCGGUUACAAGUUAAGCUGUAUCCGGAUACACACAGCAAUGCAAAACUGAAAAACUUUGUAUCCGGUUACCCCUGUGCUGUAUCCGAAUACCAUCAUCAUUUACCCUGUGCUGUAACAGCGUCAUUUCUUCUUCUUCUUCUUCUUCUUCUUCUUCUUCUUCUUCUUCUUCUUCUUCUUCUUCUUCUUCUUCUUCUUCUUCUUCUUCUUCUUCUUCUUCNN
Molecule: long non-coding RNA, 510 nt
Filed under: Vigna radiata
Lineage: Eukaryota; Viridiplantae; Streptophyta; Magnoliopsida; Fabales; Fabaceae
Description: long non-coding RNA (VRAD_LNC003992)
Source: RNAcentral